CGCCAUCUUUGCUGUUUGGAAAACGGCCAUUCCAGCCUGCGAGCUUUGGAGAGACCAAGCCCCCUGAGGCAGAGGCCGCGCCUCAGCAUGUUACAGCUGUUUUGUUGAGGUGUGGUGAGGUUGCUUCUUUAAAUGCGACCCUGAUACAUUCCUCCUCCCUGGGCAGGUCCUUCCCUCUGGAGCCUCCAGCCACCCCUGCCUGUGUUCUGUUGCGGAAAGACUUCUAAUUUCUCCUUGGGGCAGAGUGCCUGCGGAGUGGGGCGGGCCGCCGCCUUGGCUGUUUGUGAAGCGGCAUCGUUGUCUGGGGUAUGAUUUAAUACACUUUACCGACCUGAAUUCAUUGGAUAUAUGUAAAAAUGAAGGAAUGCACGUUAUUCUGCUUGAUGCUCUGCAGAGAGGAGCUGCCUGAGAGGUUGCACCUGCAGUCCUGGAUGCACUGGCCCCAGGGGUGGUUGGUGCUGACUCCACAUUUGUCUAAUAAGAUGUCCAGAUACAAAAAUGUCUGUGAUGUGGGAACCGUUACAGAUCUAGGAGAGUUUUUUCAACAGCAAAAAAAGCAAAGCCUGUUUCUGUCAAAGUCUUUUAUUUUAUUUUUGAAUUUGACCUUUUAAAAUAAGAUUAAAACAUUCCAUCAAGACUCCCUUUA
Molecule: long non-coding RNA, 646 nt
Filed under: Homo sapiens (human)
Lineage: Eukaryota; Metazoa; Chordata; Mammalia; Primates; Hominidae
Description: non-protein coding lnc-TRIML2-7:1
Source: RNAcentral